RNAcentral lists this transfer RNA (73 nucleotides) under Paramuricea clavata. It matches the Rfam family "tRNA". From Rfam's summary of the family: Transfer RNA (tRNA) molecules are approximately 80 nucleotides in length. The record is from Rfam by way of RNAcentral. Lineage: Eukaryota; Metazoa; Cnidaria; Anthozoa; Malacalcyonacea; Plexauridae.
GACCGCAUAGCUCAGUUGGCAGAGCAUUGGUCUAGUAUACCAGAGGUCGUAGGUUCGAUUCCCACCGUGGUCA